GCCGGGCGCCGUGGCGCGUGCCUGUAGUCCCAGCUACUCGGGAGGCUGAGGUGGUAGGAUCGCUUGAGCCCAGGAGUUCUGGGCUGUAGUGCGCUAUGCUGAUUGGGUGUCCGCACUAAGUUCAGCAUCAAUAUGGUGACCUCCCGGGAGCGGAGGACCACCAGGUUGCCUAAGGAGGGGUGAACCGGCCCAGGUCGGAAACGGAGCAGGUCAGAACACCCGUGCUGAUCAGUAGUGAGAUCACUCCUGUGAAUAGCCACUGCACUCCAGCCUGGGCAACAUAGCGAGACCCUGUCUCU
RNAcentral lists this signal recognition particle RNA (299 nucleotides) under Aotus nancymaae (Ma's night monkey). RNAcentral describes it as "Metazoan signal recognition particle RNA (ENSANAG00000015264.1)". It matches the Rfam family "Metazoan signal recognition particle RNA". From Rfam's summary of the family: The signal recognition particle (SRP) is a universally conserved ribonucleoprotein. It is involved in the co-translational targeting of proteins to membranes. Lineage: Eukaryota; Metazoa; Chordata; Mammalia; Primates; Aotidae. The record is from RNAcentral.